UACGAAGGGGGCUAGCGUUGCUCGGAAUCACUGGGCGUAAAGCGCACGUAGGCGGCUUUUUAAGUCAGGGGUGAAAUCCUGGAGCUCAACUCCAGAACUGCCUCCGAUACUGAAAGGUUCGAGUCCGGGAGAGGUGAGUGGAACUGCGAGUGUAGAGGUGAAAUUCGUAGAUAUUCGGAAGAACACCAGUGGCGAAGGCGACUUACUGGUCCAUUACUGACGCUGAGGCUCGAAAGCGUGGGGAGCAAACAGG
This 253-nucleotide ribosomal RNA is filed under the name uncultured bacterium. RNAcentral describes it as "partial 16S ribosomal RNA". It matches the Rfam family "Bacterial small subunit ribosomal RNA", at positions 524 to 776 of the family's 1533-position model. The record is from RNAcentral.